Molecule: long non-coding RNA, 281 nt
Filed under: Carica papaya (papaya)
Lineage: Eukaryota; Viridiplantae; Streptophyta; Magnoliopsida; Brassicales; Caricaceae
Description: long non-coding RNA (CPAP_LNC003821)
Source: RNAcentral
GAAUCUUAAGUUUUUGCUUGUUGUUGUAUAAAUUUAUCAGGUUAUGUGUGUGGAAUAACGUUCAUAUCUCAACAAAGAAAAUAGGUCAUUACAAUUAGUAUCAUAGCCCUCGUUCCUCGAAACAAUCCCUUAUAUCAUGAGGUUUAGGAUUCUUAUGAGAUUUAAAGUCAAAAGAAAUUAGUUAAUACACUCCUUAAGAAAUGUUUUGGAACUUCCUCUAAAAUAGCUGCAGGUAUGAAGAAGUUAUAUUAUAGUUCCAAAAGCCUAAAAAUUUAGAAGUU